UACGAAGGGGGCUAGCGUUGUUCGGAAUUACUGGGCGUAAAGCGCACGUAGGCGGAUACUUAAGUCAGGGGUGAAAUCCCGGGGGCUCAACCCCGGAACUGCCUUUGAUACUGGGUAUCUCGAGUCCGGAAGAGGUGAGUGGAAUUCCGAGUGUAGAGGUGAAAUUCGUAGAUAUUCGGAGGAACACCAGUGGCGAAGGCGGCUCACUGGUCCGGUACUGACGCUGAGGUGCGAAAGCGUGGGGAGCAAACAGG
RNAcentral lists this ribosomal RNA (254 nucleotides) under uncultured bacterium. RNAcentral describes it as "partial 16S ribosomal RNA". It matches the Rfam family "Bacterial small subunit ribosomal RNA", at positions 524 to 776 of the family's 1533-position model. The record is from RNAcentral.